Molecule: ribosomal RNA, 506 nt
Filed under: uncultured bacterium
Lineage: Bacteria
Description: partial 16S ribosomal RNA
Rfam family: Bacterial small subunit ribosomal RNA
Source: RNAcentral
GAUGAACGCUAGCUACAGGCUUAACACAUGCAAGUCGAGGGGUAACGAGAGGGAAGCUUGCUUUCCUUGUCGACGACCGGCGGAUGGGUGAGUAACGCGUAUCCAACCUGCCCUUCAGUAAGGGAUAGCCUUUCGAAAGAAAGAAUAAUACCUUAUGUGGUCGUCAGAAGACAUCAGACGACGAUCAAAGAUUUAUCGCUGAAGGAUGGGGAUGCGUCCCAUUAGGCAGUAGGCGGGGUAACGGCCCACCUAACCUACGAUGGGUAGGGGUUCUGAGAGGAAGGUCCCCCACAUUGGAACUGAGACACGGUCCAAACUCCUACGGGAGGCAGCAGGGAGGAAUAUUGGUCAAUGGCCGUAAGGCUGAACCAGCCAAGUAGCGUGCAGGAUGACGGCCCUAUGGGUUGUAAACUGCUUUUAAACGGGGAUAAAGUGAGCCACGUGUGGUUUAUUGCAGGUACCGUUUGAAUAAGGACCGGCUAAUUCCGUGCCAGCCGCCGCUGUAA